RNAcentral lists this ribosomal RNA (445 nucleotides) under uncultured bacterium. Its description in RNAcentral is "partial 16S ribosomal RNA". It matches the Rfam family "Bacterial small subunit ribosomal RNA", at positions 354 to 796 of the family's 1533-position model. The record is from RNAcentral.
GUGAGGAAUAUUGGUCAAUGGGCGGGAGCCUGAACCAGCCAAGUCGCGUGAAGGAAGAAGGAUCUAUGGUUCGUAAACUUCUUUUGCAGGGGAAUAAAGUGCAGGACGUGUCCUGUUUUGUAUGUACCCUGAGAAUAAGGAUCGGCUAACUCCGUGCCAGCAGCCGCGGUAAUACGGAGGAUCCGAGCGUUAUCCGGAUUUAUUGGGUUUAAAGGGUGCGUAGGUGGUUUGAUAAGUCAGCGGUGAAAGUUUGCAGCUUAACUGUAAAAAUGCCGUUGAAACUGUCGGACUUGAGUGUAAAUGAGGUAGGCGGAAUGCGUGGUGUAGCGGUGAAAUGCAUAGAUAUCACGCAGAACUCCGAUUGCGAAGGCAGCUUACUAUUUCGUAAUUGACGCUGAGGCACGAAAGCGUGGGUAGCGAACGGGAUUAGAUACCCGAGUAGUCC